AAAGCAUUAAGGUGUUUUUCGUAAAGAAAAAAGAAUAGGGAAUGCGGUGUAAAUCCGCAGCAGCACCCACUACUGUAACUUGGACAAAAUAUUUCUGGACCAUAUGGCCCGCCACUGGCUGAAUGCUGGGAAGGCUUGGAAUAUAGCGGAUGAAAAGAAGUCAGGAGACCUGCCUUAGUGCG
RNAcentral lists this non-coding RNA (182 nucleotides) under human gut metagenome. The record is from RNAcentral.